GGGGCUGAUUAUGGAUUUGACAGAAUAUGUAACGCUUUAGGAGCAUGCCGAGGGGCGGUUGGCCUCGUUAAAAGCCGUAAAAAAUAGAUGCAAACGAUAAUAACUUUGCACCUGCUGCAUUAGCCGCUUAAUCAGCUUAAUACACUGAAGGUGCCCUCUCUCUCACUAGCCCUUUCUCUUAGGGUGAGAAAAUAGAGGGGUCAAACUUAUAAGAGAUCGCACAUAGGCUAUGCUUAAAGCUAAAGUGUUAAAUUUUAUCAGGCUAGUUUUUAGUGGCGUGUUCGUUCGCAACUAAACAAUGAAUCAAAUAACCGGACUAAGCAUGUAGCGCUGACAGGCAGAGCAAUUCUGGACGCGGGUUCAAAUCCCGCCAGCUCCACCA
This 382-nucleotide transfer-messenger RNA is filed under the name Enterobacteriaceae (enterobacteria). Its description in RNAcentral is "f Enterobacteriaceae X48 Standard tmRNA". It matches the Rfam family "transfer-messenger RNA". From Rfam's summary of the family: Bacterial tmRNA, also known as 10Sa RNA or SsrA, is named for its dual tRNA and mRNA-like properties. Its role is to liberate the mRNA from a stalled ribosome. RNAcentral also lists the same sequence under 1 other name. Lineage: Bacteria; Pseudomonadati; Pseudomonadota; Gammaproteobacteria; Enterobacterales. The record is from RNAcentral.